GUCUUUCCUUUCUAAGUGUCUCUCAUGGGUGUUUUGGAGCAAUUGUUUACACCUGCUGCAAUGGGUAAGUGGAAGCAAGAAUCCUUCAUCAUAUAAUGAACUCCUGGCAGACCCUCAACACUGAAUAUUUCCCUCUGGCCAGUGGAAUAGCAAGCCAGAUAUACCGUAAUAUCAACCAUGUUUGUGUGGGUAUGUGUCAGACGAUCAGUGAGAGUGGUCAGCCGGUUACAGGUCAAAGUUCAUGGUCAUCAAUGGUUGAGGUGGACAGCUCUCCAUCUGGUGGGGACUUGGCCUCUAAGGGUCAGGGCUAAAAAGUGUAGAUCUUUGGUGCUGCAGCUGCAUGUCAUGAAUUGAAUGAAAGAAGGCACUUGAGCAACUAUGUGUGCACCAAGUAAAAAGCACAAUGUAGGAGCAUUAGUAUGCUAAUGAGGUGCGGGGCGACAGGUGGCCCGCUAGACAGCUCAAUUAAGAAGCUCGUUAAAGGCCAAGCUAACGAAGCGGCCUGCACUGCAAGCCUCAACAAACAAUGUGACUGUGCAGGCUACAAAUUGAAGGAGUGCAAUGGAGUAACUACUGUAGCAGAGGGCAAAUGAAGUUCAGCCGAGGCGAAGGGGUGAGACCACGUCAAAGAAAGGACAACAGUGAGAGAGAGAUCAAGAGAUGUGUCUAAUGAAGGAAUGCACACAGAGAGAUGAAAUCUAAUGGAGACAAAGGAUGUACAGAGUGAUCGAGAGAGGGAGAGAGAUGGCGAUGGGGUGGCUGACUGCUGUUGAACUCAUCGUCAUCUUAAUUGAUGAGGUCAUCCCGGGGACUAUCCCAAAACUAAAGUGUCCCCAGGAGGUCGUCACCAGGUCAUCCAAAAGUCAAAGAGCAUCGGAGAGAGAUGAUAUAGCAUGUAACUUUUCUUUGUGUUUUGCUGGUGUUGUUGUUGUUGUUUGUUUAUGGGGUUUUUGCAUUUAAUUGAAAGGAUAGUGUAGACCAGGCAGGAUCGUGGAAGGAGAGAUAGGGAAGUAGGAUCAGGACAAGAUGCAAGCUGGAUUUGAACCUGUGUCCCCUUGAGCACAACAAAUAUCGCUAUGUCCUGAGUCUGGCUUUCUAUGUGCAUUACCAACUGUACCACAGCUCCAAAUUCUAUGCAUUUCGGUCAACAAAUAUUACUAAACUGAUUGCUGCUUUAAAAUGACUUAAAAUUAAUUUAAAUUAGAUUUUUUUUUUUUUUUUUUUUUGAAGAAUUAUUUUUAUUUUUUCUUACAAGAUUUUCAAAAGUGUUGAUGUACAAAAUUGGGUCAGUGUCUUUGAUAUGCUGUCAAUCAAAUGUUCUCUGCUGGAAUUGCUAGAGUGUAGGUGUCAAAGUAACCUUUGCAACACAGGCACACAAACACACACAUAUACAGAGAAACAAAUAGACUCGCUCAGCGACAACACAUUCAGUAAUUGCUGCCUAUUAAGGUCUUCGCUUCUCUCUCACACCUCAUUACAGGCCUAAACACACACUGCCCCCUCAUUACAGAUUGCUUGCUUAACACACACACAUACAAUUCCCUCAUUUCCACCUGUCAAUUAAACACUCAACCUGGCAAGCGUGACCACUGAGAGUUGGGUGUUAACUCGCUGAUGACAGUGUGAGAGUUGUGGGCUCUGUUACCCCAUUCCAAUACAUGAUAGAAAACUGUUAUGCAUGCUGCUGACCUUAUGUGUAUAUGUCCGUGUGUGUCUCUAAUGAAGCAUUUGUCAGUGCAGUUCUCUUGUUGGAUUAGGGUUGACUUUGAACACCCUAUAAAGAAAAUGGACUCUCAUGAAGAAACACCAAUUAGCACUUGUAUCUAUACAUGUACCUCACACUGUUAGAAACUGUUUAGUGUGUUUGUAUGUGCAAAAGCAACAGGUUCAAAUCCGUUGUAUGAGGAAAAAGCUGGUGAUGUGAGUGCAUAAAAAUAAUGUUUUUGUAUAUGCAAUAAUGCAGUGAUUUAGUUUCAUCAGUUUCAUCAUCAUAAUAUUUGUUGUCAUAACUACCAUCUCUCCAUCUUGUGCUCCUGUUAUUCUCUACAGUGAAAUAAUGUGCAACCUUUAGCAAUGGGGGGGUUUGUUUGUUGUAAAUUGGUGCAAUUCGCUAUAGAGCCUGGUCCUUUUCUCACUCUCUCUUUCUGAAGGUGAAAGGAAAUUGAAUGUGCCAAAAAGAACAGAUGGGUUGGUGAGAGGAGAAUAAAGGAACAAAAAGUUGCUGCAAAACAGUGGAGUAUAAUUAUGGUUAUACCACAGUAUGUGUCAGAUCAAAAGGGUAUGACAAAGUAACUGUGCUUUUACAAUCCCCCUGGAGUAACCUGGGAUGAAGUGAUGAUAAUUCAUGGCUCAUUCUUUUGAAAGAAUUUCCAGUUGCAGACAUGAAGUUAAACCACCCCUUCAUUAAUGGUGACAUUUUUGUUUGUUAUGAUAAUUUAGAAAGGAAGAAAAUCUGAUUACUUAUGUCCAACAGUGCCAUUUUAAUGUCAUUUUGAAGGAAACUGGAAGAAGAGCAUUUUGAAACUUGGAAGGAAGUUCAGAACAAAUCAUGGAAGCUUGAAAAGAAGAAUGGAAGAGAGGAAGUUCAGUCCAGGGUGAUUAGUGGUAUCAAACUCAAAGUUAUGUAAUUGUCCUUUUUUGUUAAUAUAAAAUACAAGAAAGAGGAAGGUUUUAUUUUGCCAUAAUAUUUUGACGCAAAGACUUUGCCAUUGACUUUCUAAAUCAUUUGGAUAAAAACAAUAUAAUUUGCAAGACUGUGUUUCCAGCUGACUGCAUCAAGAAGCAAAAGCUAGUAAUUUCUGACAGACAAACAGCUUGUGCAUUGUUAAUACUGUGGCUAUGUCCUAAUGUGUUGUUUGUCUUUGUCCCAGCUUGCGAUAGUUUGCAGAUCCUCUUCAAAGUACUUCAGAUGACAAGGGACCCCUCUUAAAAACACAAGCCUGAACUCUUCAGUUUAAGAGCCCGGCAGUUUUCCUCACUGUGUGUUUCUAACCCAGGAAACUGACAGAUGCCCAUAAAUUAUUUGCCUUUAUUUUAAAAGCACAGCUCAUUUACAUCAAUUUGUAAGAGGCGGGGGAAAGUAGUGAGGAGUUUGUAACUUUAGGUAUGUAUAUGCGAGUGUGUAAAGGGGGGUCAUCUUAGGUGGUCAGUGUAGCCAUUCUUUUGCCUUAGUGUCCUGUCAUAUUCCUUGAACCCUUGCAUACUCACCAUUUCCACCCACACACAAACCAGAGCUCAGAUGCCUCCCCGCUAAUUAGCAACAAGUCAGAGCCGCCCACUUCUGCAUGGCAGUAAAUAUUCCCACACACUCGCACAGACGUCCCUAACUCGGAUACAAGACCAUCGUUCCUUCUCCAUUCUUUCCCCUCCUUUCUGAUUUUUAUCACCUCCCCUUGUUUUGUUCCCACUUCUGCAGCCAUCAAUCAUCCCAUUGACCUAUCUUGUUAGGGGAAACUCACAGACACGCCCCCUCGCCUCUUCCAGACCUUAAUCUCGUCCCACGCUCUCUUUCUUUCUAUUAUAUACGUAUGCAUUGGAGCCCCAACGUCCAUGUCUGACUUAUACCUUCACGCUCCAUCCUGCUCUCCUGUGCGGUUAGUGGUCAGGACAGGGUUGUGGCCGUGGGCUGGACAGGGUCGUGGGGAGGUGUUGUGGGGGGGAUUAGAUUUAGGGAACACUCUGGGUGGUACGGUAGCCUCUGCGAUGAGUACAAUGCUUCCUGUGUCCCCAUGUGACACACACCCUUGUUUUACAACAGGGGAGGAGACACCUUCAAUGCCCCAAUGAUGUGAACCACCCUGAGCCUAUUCACGGUGACAAACGGCCACUGCUGGCCCCUGCGACAAACACAUGCACAGACAGACCACGACUAUCACACUCAUAAACACAGCUUUUGCUUCAUAUUGUGUUUAUUUGCUAAACUGUCCUGGCAAAAAAACACUACUUUUAAAUGCACAAUGGGAGACGCAUUGAGACUACCUAGAUGACAUUAAUAUGCGCACUCAAAUCCAAGACAGAUGGAAUAAAAGGCUUUCCUCUACCUUUAGCGCUUUCUCCCUCUCUUUUCUCUCUGAAAGAACCUUCUUGGCUGGCUCUCAGUGGGGUUGAAUUGGUAUGGCUUUAAUUGAAUCAACUAGCUCUUUUCUUGUGCUGCACUUAUGAGGCCAGAGCAGCCAAAUGGCUUGAUGACAACGUAAUGGCAAAAGAAUGAAUGAGCGACGGUGCCAGAGGGGAGUGAAAACCCUAUGGCAUUCCUUCGCAUCUGCAGCGAUACACAGUCAUGCACAACACUAUUGCAAUUGCUGAACUUAGCCAAAACACAGGAAGAAUGACAUUUUAGCGGAAUUCUGAGAUUUUUGUAGAUUCUGUUGAUGUCAUGACGAACAUUGUAUACAAUAUUCUAUUCAAAUGAGCAUACUACAUAAGCAGUUAGAAAACUCUUUCAUCUGGUUAUCUAUUUAUUUAUUUAUUUUUAAUGGAGAUUAUAGGUAUGUGAUUUUUUAUUAUUAACUCAAGGAGCUAUUUCUACCUUAUCCAAGCUUUGAAUUUAAUUUAGUUGGCAUAACCCAAAGCAAGGUUUCCCAAACGUGGGUUUAUGGAGGUUUGUGAGUUGAUUAAAAGCUAAUAAUUAAAACAUGAAAAUUUAAAAUUAAAAAAAUUAAAGCAGUGAUAAUUAAAAUAUUUGAUG
Cyprinus carpio (common carp) is the source of this 4687-nucleotide long non-coding RNA. RefSeq lists it as uncharacterized. The record is from RefSeq and is a predicted model, not a curated record. The transcript has 4 exons. NCBI's taxonomy places the organism in Eukaryota, Metazoa, Chordata, Actinopteri, Cypriniformes, Cyprinidae.